AAAAAAAAUAAUAAUAAAAAAAUAUAUAUAUAUAUUCAAGAAAGAACCCUUAGUUUUUAAAGCCUCAUCGAUGACACGAGUUCUAUUUCUCAUCAAUAUUUCCACCAUCAAGAUGAUUGUCUGAAUCCCCGGGAAAACACAUCAUCUAUAAUAAAAUUACCACCAUUCCUGAACCACAUGAUUGCAUGUUUCCUUGAUCCAACUAAAGCUUUUUUUGAAAGAACCCUUCAUUUUUCCUUCCAUGGAAUAGGCCUUGUAACUUGCAAUUCUCUUUUUCCUCUGGAACUCAGGGUCAUUUAAACCCCAAGUUUUUGAAGAAGAAGAGGAAACCCUAUUCUUUUGUUUGUUGAUCUUGGCUGGAUUACGAUCGAGAUGGGGUAAUGGUAGAGGAGUUAUGUGAACUGAUGAUGAUCCAUAUGAAGUAGAAGCUGUAGUGCUGUAACUCCUCAGAUUUUGCAUGCUGGUUGGACCUUCUUCAUUAAUGGAGUUGUACUUCUCUACCUGCACUCUGCUUGAUUUAGAUCUACUGAAUUUCUCCAUACAAGAAUGAGGAACACACACG
This 562-nucleotide long non-coding RNA is filed under the name Olea europaea subsp. europaea. The record is from RNAcentral. Lineage: Eukaryota; Viridiplantae; Streptophyta; Magnoliopsida; Lamiales; Oleaceae.